This 87-nucleotide transfer RNA is filed under the name Petrotoga sp. HWH.PT.55.6.1. RNAcentral describes it as "tRNA-Leu". It matches the Rfam family "tRNA". From Rfam's summary of the family: Transfer RNA (tRNA) molecules are approximately 80 nucleotides in length. Their secondary structure includes four short double-helical elements and three loops (D, anti-codon, and T loops). Further hydrogen bonds mediate the characteristic L-shaped molecular structure. tRNAs have two regions of fundamental functional importance: the anti-codon, which is responsible for specific mRNA codon recognition, and the 3' end, to which the tRNAs corresponding amino acid is attached (by aminoacyl-tRNA synthetases). tRNAs cope with the degeneracy of the genetic code in two manners: having more than one tRNA (with a specific anti-codon) for a particular amino acid; and 'wobble' base-pairing, i.e. permitting non-standard base-pairing at the 3rd anti-codon position. RNAcentral also lists the same sequence under 3 other names. Lineage: Bacteria; Thermotogati; Thermotogota; Thermotogae; Petrotogales; Petrotogaceae. The record is from RNAcentral.
GCCGAGGUGGCGGAAUUGGUAGACGCGUAAGAUUCAGGAUCUUAUGGGCUUUUGUCCGUGCGGGUUCAAGUCCCGCCCUCGGCACCA